This 118-nucleotide small nuclear RNA is filed under the name Dipodomys ordii (Ord's kangaroo rat). RNAcentral describes it as "U2 spliceosomal RNA". It matches the Rfam family "U2 spliceosomal RNA". From Rfam's summary of the family: U2 is a small nuclear RNA (snRNA) component of the spliceosome (involved in pre-mRNA splicing). Complementary binding between U2 snRNA (in an area lying towards the 5' end but 3' to hairpin I) and the branchpoint sequence (BPS) of the intron results the bulging out of an unpaired adenosine, on the BPS, which initiates a nucleophilic attack at the intronic 5' splice site, thus starting the first of two transesterification reactions that mediate splicing. The record is from Rfam by way of RNAcentral. Lineage: Eukaryota; Metazoa; Chordata; Mammalia; Rodentia; Heteromyidae.
AUCGCUUCUCUGCCUUUUGGCUAAGAUCAAGUGUCCUAUCUGUUCUUAUCAGUUUAAUAUCUGAUACAUCAUCUAUCCGAGGACAAUAUACAGAGUUUGGCCAGAGAGGGAAAAUCCA